GACGAACGCUGGCGGCGUGCUUAACACAUGCAAGUCGAACGGAAAGGCCCUGCUUUUGUGGGGUGCUCGAGUGGCGAACGGGUGAGUAACACGUGAGUAACCUGCCCUUGACUUUGGGAUAACUUCAGGAAACUGGGGCUAAUACCGGAUAGGAGCUCCUGCUGCAUGGUGGGGGUUGGAAAGUUUCGGCGGUUGGGGAUGGACUCGCGGCUUAUCAGCUUGUUGGUGGGGUAGUGGCUUACCAAGGCUUUGACGGGUAGCCGGCCUGAGAGGGUGACCGGCCACAUUGGGACUGAGAGACGGCCCAGACUCCUACGGGAGGCAGCAGUGGGGAAUAUUGCACAAUGGGCGGAAGCCUGAUGCAACAACGCCGCGUGCGGGAUGACGGCCUUCGGGUUGUAAACCGCUUUCGCCUGUGACGAAGCGUGAGUGACGGUAAUGGGUAAAGAAGCACCAGCUAACUACGUG
This 468-nucleotide ribosomal RNA is filed under the name uncultured bacterium. RNAcentral's name for it is "partial 16S ribosomal RNA". It matches the Rfam family "Bacterial small subunit ribosomal RNA", at positions 28 to 507 of the family's 1533-position model. The record is from RNAcentral.